This is a long non-coding RNA of Cyprinodon variegatus (sheepshead minnow), 493 nucleotides long. RefSeq lists it as uncharacterized. The record is from RefSeq and is a predicted model, not a curated record. NCBI's taxonomy places the organism in Eukaryota, Metazoa, Chordata, Actinopteri, Cyprinodontiformes, Cyprinodontidae. The transcript has 3 exons.
AACAGCACAAACCUGCAGGAACAUUUUUAUAACAAACUCCAACCUGGUAAUCCAACAAUAGAGAUCUAUUGUAGAAUUAAUACUAAUAGAUCUAUAAAGAAACUGUGAAAAUUAAGAAAAUAAUGUUUAACGCCCUUUUUUCAACAGAAUCACAGCUGUUUUUUAAAAAUGAAACCCAUCCUUCAUCCGAAGACUGGGACACUGGAAAUGUUACGCAGGGCGUUGAUAUAAUGGCCGAAUCACCAACUCUACCUUCAGAUAAUAUCACUACAGACACAUUUCAAACAGAUGCUGAACCAGAACCAGAGUUGUUUUAUGAAGGAGACCACGUUGGGACUUUGAAUGACUCAGAGGCUCUAAACGUCACAGAGGGGUGGAUAAACCCAUCAGGAGGUCAGUAAACUUUAAAACUUCUACUUUUUGUGCUGAGAUUUGAUACCUAACAGGAUGUUUUUAUAUUAUAGUUGCGCUUGGGACAAAACAAAACGGUGAU